GAUGAACGCUAGCGGGAGGCUUAAUACAUGCAAGUCGAACGGCAGCAGGUCCUUCGGGACGCUGGCGAGUGGCGAACGGGUGAGUAACGCGUACACGAUCUGCCCAUAAGUCUGGGAUAG
Molecule: ribosomal RNA, 120 nt
Filed under: uncultured bacterium
Lineage: Bacteria
Description: partial 16S ribosomal RNA
Rfam family: Bacterial small subunit ribosomal RNA
Source: RNAcentral